CGAAAGGCUCAUUAAAUCAGUUAUGGUUCCUUAGAUCGUACCCACAUUUACUUGGAUAACUGUGGUAAUUCUAGAGCUAAUACAUGCAAACAGAGCUCCGACCGGAGACGGAAGGAGCGCUUUUAUUAGAUCAAAACCAAUCGGUGGCGGGUUCGCUCGUCAUCGUACAUUUUGGUGACUCUGAAUAACUUUUUGCUGAUCGCACGGUCCAGCACCGGCGACGCAUCUUUCAAAUGUCUGCCUUAUCAACUGUCGAUGGUAGGUUCUGCGCCUACCAUGGUUGUAACGGGUAACGGGGAAUCAGGGUUCGAUUCCGGAGAGGGAGCCUGAGAAACGGCUACCACAUCCAAGGAAGGCAGCAGGCGCGCAAAUUACCCACUCCCGGCACGGGGAGGUAGUGACGAAAAAUAACGAUACGGGACUCAUCCGAGGCCCCGUAAUCGGAAUGAGUACACUCUAAACCCUUUAACGAGGAUCAAUUGGAGGGCAAGUCUGGUGCCAGCAGCCGCGGUAAUUCCAGCUCCAAUAGCGUAUAUUAAAGUUGUUGCGGUUAAAAAGCUCGUAGUCGAAUCUGUGUCCCGCGCCGCCGGUUCAUCGCUCGCGGUGUUAACUGGCGUGCCCGCGAGACGUCCUGCCGGUGGGCUUAGCUCGUUCGCGGGCGGCCCAACUUCAAAUCCCACCGCGGUGCUCUUGACUGAGUGUCGAGGUGGGCCGGCACGUUUACUUUGAACAAAUUAGAGUGCUUAAAGCAGGCUAAAACUUCGCCUGAAUACUGUGUGCAUGGAAUAAUGGAAUAGGACCUCGGUUCUAUUUUGUUGGUUUUCGGAACCCCGAGGUAAUGAUUAAUAGGAACGGAUGGGGGCAUUCGUAUUGCGACGUUAGAGGUGAAAUUCUUGGAUCGUCGCAAGACGGACAGAAGCGAAAGCAUUUGCCAAAAACGCUUUCAUUGAUCAAGAACGAAAGUUAGAGGUUCGAAGGCGAUCAGAUACCGCCCUAGUUCUAACCAUAAACGAUGCCAGCUAGCGAUCCGCCGACGUUCCUCCGAUGACUCGGCGGGCAGCUUCCGGGAAACCAAAGCUUUUGGGUUCCGGGGGAAGUAUGGUUGCAAAGCUGAAACUUAAAGGAAUUGACGGAAGGGCACCACCAGGAGUGGAGCCUGCGGCUUAAUUUGACUCAACACGGGAAACCUCACCAGGCCCGGACACCGGAAGGAUUGACAGAUUGAGAGCUCUUUCUUGAUUCGGUGGGUGGUGGUGCAUGGCCGUUCUUAGUUGGUGGAGCGAUUU
RNAcentral lists this ribosomal RNA (1286 nucleotides) under Hydrobiomorpha sp. I ET-2017. RNAcentral describes it as "SSU rRNA". It matches the Rfam family "Eukaryotic small subunit ribosomal RNA", at positions 90 to 1312 of the family's 1831-position model. The record is from RNAcentral. Lineage: Eukaryota; Metazoa; Arthropoda; Insecta; Coleoptera; Hydrophilidae.